GGACCCAGUCAGAAACAUGGACUAAAUUUGCUUACAAAUGCCCAUUCACAGCCGCACAAAGACAGACAGAUCCAUCGUCUUCCUCGCCAUGCAUACCAUCACCACUGCCGAGCUCCUGCUCAUAUGCAUCCUAGCUGCCGCCAAUUUGCUAUGGUCAGUCGAUGGUUCUGCCAGUUCAAGCUGCAUACCGCGGGAGCAGGAUGCCCUGCUGUCCUUCAAGCGCGGCAUCAACAGCGACCCCAUGGGUGUCGUUGACUCUUGGCACAAGGAAGACUGCUGUCAGUGGAGCGGCGUCAAGUGCAGCAACCGGACUGGCCAUGUUCUUAGGCUUCAUCUUCGUCGUCUGGAUGUGUACACACUCAAUGGGUACUACCAAGACGACACAGCUUUGGUUGGCCAGAUAAGUAAUUCUUUACUCUCCAUGGAUCGUCUAGUGCACCUUGAUCUUAGCAUGAAUUGCCUCGAGGGCCCAAGCGGCCACUGUUACAGCGCUGCUAGAAGGAGAGCGCGAGAGGGCCGGUCGGGGGCCUUUUUGCCCACGGCCGGGCAGGAGGGAAGGGAUUUCUUUCUUAAUUCUUGCUUGAUUAAAUUGAUACAUCUCAUCUCUUUAUAUAUAAGCGUUGUUUGGAUAGCGGAGAUUAGCAAUAGGAUUAUAGAAAAUGGGUUUUUAGCCGAUUUCUAGAAAAACCCAUUUUACAUCAAUUUUUGUGAAUAACCAGUUUAUAAAAAACUACGUUUGGUAAGGAAAUUUGGAAAACUGGUCGGCCCAGUUCCUUGUUUGGAUACCCACCACCACUAGUACUCCUACUCCUAUUCUCCUCCCGUGAGCGACUCUCACUUUCCCUAAAUCGGACGCCAUGGCGUUAUCCAUCCAAGCUCGUUGAGCUGCUGCUUCCCUCCGAUUCCUCCUCCGCUCGCUGACACCGCUGCUCCCUUGUCUCGCCCGUGGAAGAAUCCGCGCGCGGACGCCGGCUACUGUGCGCCUCCGCCGCCCUGGACGCCGGUUGCUGCUGGACUCCCAGAUCGCCAGGUACAUGCCGCCGCGCGCGGACGCCUCCUACUGGGCGCCUCCGCCUCCCUGGAUGUUGGUUGCUGCUCGCCUCCCCUCCCCUCCCCUGGACGGCUAGGUCCCCGGGCGUACUGCGUUUCGUCGGCCGUCGACCCGACACAAGCUCUACCCAGCGAGCAGUCGUGCUUCAGGUCAACGCACAGGCCUGCCUCCCCUCAACGCCGGCCGUGCAGGCUACACCCACAUCAGCCCGUUUUGCCACAGUAUUAGCGGCACCGGGGGAAGCUGUAGCUCCUGACCAACAUCACCAUCAGUAACAGCUGAUGGGAAUGACAAGCUCGCGGAUGGGGAUUCAGAGGAGCAGGUAUGUUUGAUUACUAUUUUCAAGUUUUUUACUAGUAAAUUAACAUGGUCUGCAUCAUGCACUUACAAGAGCAGCUACAGUUAUCUCCUUUUUUGGUUUCUUAGCAUGUUUUCAUGGUCUACAUCAUGCACUUGUGGAGAGUAUACUACCGUACAUCAUAAUAUAUCUACUUGGUCCAUUGAAGAAUCUGGUACGUAGGUAGGAUGGAAACACUUGAAUGUCACAUAAAAAUGCACCAAUUUGAAGUAGUUCAUUGGUUGCUUCACUUGCUGAAAAGAAUGGUAGACAAUUACAUUUCAUCGUGUAGCUGCAGAUAGAGAGAGGGAGAUGGAGAGGGUGAGAGAGGGAUAGAGCUCAUAAGCCUAUAAAAGAAUGGGAAGUUCAUGUCCGUAUAAAGGAUUAAAAGUUUCAACAAUUAUUAUGCAUAUAUAUAUAUGCAAUUGAAGAUGGAAUACAAACAUUGCAAUAUUUAAUCAUCUUGUUGUUGAGCACUACGUUGUUGAUGUUUAGUCCACAACUCUCGGGCGAUGGCACCACGAACUCUCACCAGCAACUCUAUCAUCUUCUCUUGCUUGCCCAUGAACUUGUUGAUCACCAUGGUCAGUAUUUUGUUCUGUUUCCCCAUGCUCAUAAAGCUCGAAUAACUCAUCAGGAUGAUUAACCUUCCUUAUAAAGUUGUGUAUAAUGCAACAAGCCAUAACAAUUUUCACUUGAGUUCUGUACGGAUAAGGAAUCCCUCCUUUCCUACUUAGAAUUGGAAACCAAGCUUUUAGAACACCAAAAGUUCGUUCAACAACAUUCCGCAACUGUGCAUGUAGAUGGUUGAACAAGUCCUCCAGUAUAUCGCCGAUUACUUCCACGAAAAGAAGCAAUAUGAUAGCGAUCUCCGCGAUACGGGGCAAUAAAUCUUGGAGUAUUUGCGUAGCCAGAAUCAACAAGGUAAAAUUUACCUGCACAUUAAUUUCAUAUCACAGUCAGCAUCUUUAUAUAUAUUGUAGAUACACAAAUAAUUGUACUUUACAUUCAGGAACAACUAAACCCCCACUAGUAACAGCCCAUCUUAGAAUAGCUUGAUCAGAUGCAGAACCCGCCCAUCCAGCAGCGACAUAAGAGAAUGUCAUGUCAAAUGACACUACUGCCAUUACAUUUUGAGACGGAUAACCAUGUCUGAUUCUAUAAGGAGUUUGCUUAUCAAUCCUGACUUUUGCUUCAAUAUGUGUCCCGUCAAUUGCUCCUAGGCAAUUCUGUUAGGAUUUUUUUGUUAGUCAAAAAAUAAAGUUUAGAUGGUGUGGACAUUAUAUUUAUGAAAAUCAUAUAUAAAGGAGUAUCUGCUUCGAAUAGCAAACAUACCUUGGAAUAUGGGUAGAACCUUGCGUCACCCAAUAUUUUUGAUGGGACCUGAUUGUUUGGAUCUGUUAUGCAAACAUCAUGCAAACCAUUUAUGGCGUCUAAAACUUUGUUGAAGUGUCGGCUGAUUGGUUCGCCAGAAUGUUGAUAUCUAUCUUGGAUGACACGGUUUCUAACAUUGUGACCAAUUGUAUGUAGAAACAUGAGUAGUUGUUCGUCCACUGUCAUUCGAUUUGUGUCCUUAAGUAACUUCCUCUCGCACAAAGCAUCCCGUAGCAAGUAGAAUAUGUGCUUCUCAAGACGAAAUUGUUCAUAAAAUCUAACUGGAUGUCCCUCUAAAAACUCUAUUGUUUUCUGAGCACCAGUUAAUAUAGAAGUGUUACGGGCUGUUUUGAAUAACCUUGUGAACAACACAUCACGAAACAAGGACACUGUAGAAAUGUUAUUAAUAAGCACUUGCUCGGAAUCAGAAAGUUCAUCAUCUGGCACAUCCGAAAUGUUCAUAGAUCCCUGCAUGAUUUGCACAGUUGACCAUAUCAUCUCAGGAUAAUUGUUUUAUAAUGUAACAGUGCUGAACCCGACAAUGAACAAUACCGAACUGAAAAUAAAAUUUAUUACUUCACACAAACUAAAAAAACAUAAGUGAAAUUGUCUUUCGAAUCUUGUAAAGUGCGACAACGGCUGAAAUAAAAUACUAUGCUCGAAGGUGUAUUACAAAAAUUCUAAGGAUCAAGAAUCCAGAGCUUCCGCGUCUCUUCAUCCAUCUCAAUGAAAAUGGCCCGUUUAUCACCAUCUGUAAAUGCCUUUACCGCUUUUAGUUUCUCUUUGGGAUCUAGAUUACUCAUACUAUUUAAUAUUGCCAUACAAGAUUUAACCGAGUAAGCUUCAUUUUGUUGUGCUACUGUUUUCUUUGCUUUAGCAAUGCUAAGUGAUGCAUCUGCAAGGCGAUCAAUUGCUAUUAUGGCAUCAUCGGCUGUCCGUUUUUGUCCUCUUGCAGUUUCCUUGGAUCCACUUCCAGGGGACUUCUUUUUUUCUGGCUCAAUGGUAGGUGACUUCUUGGUGAAUACACCAGGGGAAGCAUUGAUUUCAUCAGAAUCGAUGUCAUGUACUUCAACUUCCAUACUGAGAUCAAUUUGUGAAGAUUUGGUUGUACAUGUACCAUCUUUUCCUUUGCUAGAUACAGCACCAGCUCCAGAUGCUGUUGAACUAGCACAUAUGGCUUGAAGAUCUAUCCAACUAGGCCACACCUUAUCUCAAUAUUCUUGGAUAGCCUUAUCCUUCUGCAAGUUGUUUAAUGUUUUUGUUAAUAAUAGGAUUAUGCAACUUUAUAUGAAUUCUACUGGAACAAACUUACCUUAAUUAGUUCUUCCCAAAUAUCUUCUGAAGCUUUUAUCAUUUUGUCAUCGUCAUCCCAACCAAAUCCUGUGAGUUUUAGAAGUCUGUCCAUGGUGGUGUAGCAACUCCUGUAGUACUUAUGACGAUUUUUCAAUUGUUCUAAUUCAAGUUUUUCUAUCCUUGAAUCAUUGAAUAGUUCUAAGAUAUCACGCCAUGCUUUCUUUGUGUAACCCGUUCCUUCUUUUCCUCCAUGUAGACUUUGAUCUUUGAAUAUAUUGAGCAGUAUUUUGUCCUCUGAAGAUUUCCAUACAUGGCGCUUAGCUUUAUCUGUGUUUUCCUUCUUAAAUUUUUUUCCUUCUCAUCAUCCAUAUUUUUCUACAGAGGGGAUACAAGAAGCAAUAAUGCAAGAUGAGUCGUUUCGUUCAAAAGGAUAAAUCUACGAAGUGGAAGAAGAUGAGCAUGCCACUAAUCUUUAGUUCAUCAUAUGACUGGACACUUCAAUUUAUGUCGCAUGUUUGUCGCACAGGAUGUUCACAUCCCUUAUCAGUUAUUUUCCUAGCUUGCUACCAACAUCUUAAACAUGAAGGAUGGUGAAGCCAUGGAACCUGAUGAAAGAUGGGAAGAUUGAUUGAAGACUGGGAAGCCGAAGCACCGAAAGCCUGAUGGAGAUGUGGAGUCUUAUUGAAGAGGACCAACUUCAGAUCCAAGGUCAAUGUCUCCCAUCCAGUGCCUGUCGUGGGGAUCACAGCCAGCCCUUUGCGAUCUGGGUGUAUGACAUACGAGAAACAAAAUCGUUUUAUAGAGGCAAUGAAAAAGGCGCGGGCUGAGCCGGAAAAGGCAGAGUUGGCGCCAGCUGAGGUUGUUGAGGAAUAAGCGGGGGCGGAGAAAGGCAGUUGCAUCUGUAUAUGCUAAUCGUGUUUGUGGAAAAACGAGUAAUACUAGUUUUCCCACAAACCUGGAAUUUUGGGUUUUUGAGAAACGAGUUUCCUAUAUACGUGGGGUUGUUAGACGAGCCAAACAAGAUUUUUCACGGUUAGGCAGUUUCCUUGGUUUAUGUAGAUCCCGUUCUCUAUA
This is a non-coding RNA of Triticum urartu, 5129 nucleotides long. NCBI's taxonomy places the organism in Eukaryota, Viridiplantae, Streptophyta, Magnoliopsida, Poales, Poaceae. The record is from RefSeq and is a predicted model, not a curated record.